RNAcentral lists this ribosomal RNA (253 nucleotides) under uncultured bacterium. RNAcentral's name for it is "partial 16S ribosomal RNA". It matches the Rfam family "Bacterial small subunit ribosomal RNA", at positions 524 to 776 of the family's 1533-position model. The record is from RNAcentral.
UACGUAGGGGGCAAGCGUUGUCCGGAAUCAUUGGGCGUAAAGCGCGUGUAGGCGGUUCGAUAAGUCUGCUGUGAAAGUCCAGGGCUCAACCCUGGGAUGCCGGUGGAUACUGUCGAGCUAGAGUACGGAAGAGGCGAGUGGAAUUCCCGGUGUAGCGGUGAAAUGCGCAGAUAUCGGGAGGAACACCAAUUGCGAAGGCAGCUCGCUGGGCCAUUGCUGACGCUGAGGCGCGAAAGCGUGGGGAGCAAACAGG